Molecule: small nucleolar RNA, 99 nt
Organism: Bufo bufo (common toad)
Lineage: Eukaryota; Metazoa; Chordata; Amphibia; Anura; Bufonidae
Product: small nucleolar RNA SNORD16
Exons: 1
Source: RefSeq, a predicted model, not a curated record
UGCAAUGAUGGUGUAAUUUGCGUCUGACCUGUUGUCCAGUGACGGUUGCCUGCCGUCAAUAAGCUGGUACCACGGACUGACGACAUCUGAGACUGAGCA